GUGGGGAAUAUUGGGCAAUGGGCGCAAGCCUGACCCAGCAACGCCGCGUGAGGGAAGAAGGCUUUCGGGUUGUAAACCUCUGUCCUUGGUGACGAAACAAAUGACGGUAGCCAAGGAGGAAGCCCCGGCUAACUACGUGCCAGCAGCCGCGGUAAUACGUAGGGGGCGAGCGUUGUCCGGAAUUACUGGGCGUAAAGGGUGCGUAGGUGGCCUUUUAAGUUGGAUGUGAAAUACCCGGGCUUAACUUGGGGGGUGCAUCCAAAACUGGGAGGCUAGAGUGCAGGAGAGGAAAGCGGAAUUCCUAGUGUAGCGGUGAAAUGCGUAGAUAUUAGGAGGAACACCAGUGGCGAAGGCGGCUUUCUGGACUGUAACUGACACUGAGGCACGAAAGCGUGGGGAGCAAACAGGAUUAGAUACCCUUGUAGUCC
RNAcentral lists this ribosomal RNA (428 nucleotides) under uncultured bacterium. RNAcentral's name for it is "partial 16S ribosomal RNA". It matches the Rfam family "Bacterial small subunit ribosomal RNA", at positions 354 to 796 of the family's 1533-position model. The record is from RNAcentral.